RNAcentral lists this ribosomal RNA (254 nucleotides) under uncultured bacterium. Its description in RNAcentral is "partial 16S ribosomal RNA". It matches the Rfam family "Bacterial small subunit ribosomal RNA", at positions 524 to 776 of the family's 1533-position model. The record is from RNAcentral.
UACGUAGGGAGCAAGCGUUGUUCGGAUUUACUGGGCGUAAAGGGCGUGUAGGCGGCAUAUUAAGUCAGCUGUGAAAUCUCCGAGCUUAACUCGGAACUGUCAGCUGAUACUGAUGUGCUUGAGUGCGGAAGGGGCAAUCGGAAUUCUUGGUGUAGCGGUGAAAUGCGUAGAUAUCAAGAGGAACACCUGAGGUGAAGACGGGUUGCUGGGCCGACACUGACGCUGAGUGCGCGAAAGCCAGGGGAGCAAACGGG